RNAcentral lists this ribosomal RNA (253 nucleotides) under uncultured bacterium. RNAcentral describes it as "partial 16S ribosomal RNA". It matches the Rfam family "Bacterial small subunit ribosomal RNA", at positions 524 to 776 of the family's 1533-position model. The record is from RNAcentral.
UACGGAGGGGGCGAGCGUUGUCCGGAUUUAUUGGGCGUAAAGAGCGUGUAGGCGGUUUGGUAGGUCCGCUGUGAAAACUCGAGGCUCGACCUCGAGACGCCGGUGGAAACCAUCAGACUAGAGUCCGGAAGAGGAGAGUGGAAUUCCUGGUGUAGCGGUGAAAUGCGCAGAUAUCAGGAAGAACACCCGUGGCUAAGGCGGCUCUCUAGUACGGUACUGACGCUGAGACGCGAAAGCGUGGGGAGCGAACAGG